AGAAAUUUGUGCUAAUACCGGAUAUUCUCUUUCCCUCGCAUGGGGGGUUGAGGAAAGUUUUUCGGUUUGGGAGGGUCUCGCGGCCUAUCAGCUAGUUGGUGGGGUAAUGGCCUACCAAAGCAACGACGGGUAGCUGGUUUGAGAGAACGAUCAGCCACACUGGAACUGAGACACGGUCCAGACUCCUACGGGAGGCAGCAGUGGGGAAUCUUGCGCAAUGGGCGAAAGCCUGACGCAGCAACGCCGCGUGCGGGAUGAAGGCCUUCGGGUUGUAAACCGCUUUCAGCAGGGACGAAGAUGACGGUACCUGCAGAAGAAGCUCCGGCUAACUACGUGCCAGCAGCCGCGGUAAUACGUAGGGAGCAAGCGUUGUCCGGAUUUAUUGGGCGUAAAGAGCUCGUAGGCGGUUUCGUAAGUCGAGUGUGAAAAAUCUGGGCUUAACCCAGUGGAGCACUUGAUACUGCGAUGACUUGAGUUUGGUAGAGGAGUGUGGAAUUCCU
Molecule: ribosomal RNA, 500 nt
Filed under: uncultured bacterium
Lineage: Bacteria
Description: bacterial SSU rRNA
Rfam family: Bacterial small subunit ribosomal RNA
Source: RNAcentral